AUCGCUUCUCGGCCUGUUGGCUAAGAUCAAGUGUAGUAGUGGUAGGCUGUGUUCUUUUUCGAUGGACUAGUCGCCUUUGUCGUGGACAGCGUCAUAGUAUCGACUAAGCUUAC
This 113-nucleotide small nuclear RNA is filed under the name Stegodyphus mimosarum. RNAcentral describes it as "U2 spliceosomal RNA". It matches the Rfam family "U2 spliceosomal RNA". Rfam says of the family: U2 is a small nuclear RNA (snRNA) component of the spliceosome (involved in pre-mRNA splicing). Complementary binding between U2 snRNA (in an area lying towards the 5' end but 3' to hairpin I) and the branchpoint sequence (BPS) of the intron results the bulging out of an unpaired adenosine, on the BPS, which initiates a nucleophilic attack at the intronic 5' splice site, thus starting the first of two transesterification reactions that mediate splicing. The record is from Rfam by way of RNAcentral. Lineage: Eukaryota; Metazoa; Arthropoda; Arachnida; Araneae; Eresidae.